GACGAACGCUGGCGGCGUGCUUAACACAUGCAAGUCGAGCGGUAAGGCCCUUUCGGGGGUACACGAGCGGCGAACGGGUGAGUAACACGUGGGUGACCUGCCCUCAGCUCUGGGAUAAGCCUGGGAAACCGGGUCUAAUACCGGAUAUGACUCCAUGACGCAUGUUGUGGGGUGGAAAGCCUUGUGCGGCUGAGGAUGGGCCCGCGGCCUAUCAGCUUGUUGGUGGGGUGAUGGCCUACCAAGGCGACGACGGGUAGCCGGCCUGAGAGGGCGACCGGCCACACUGGGACUGAGGCACGGCCCAGACUCCUACGGGAGGCAGCAGUGGGGAAUCUUGCGCAAUGGGCGAAAGCCUGACGCAGCGACGCCGCGUGAGGGAUGACGGCCU
Molecule: ribosomal RNA, 388 nt
Filed under: uncultured bacterium
Lineage: Bacteria
Description: bacterial SSU rRNA
Rfam family: Bacterial small subunit ribosomal RNA
Source: RNAcentral